Non-coding RNA from Sesamum indicum (sesame), 764 nucleotides. Lineage: Eukaryota; Viridiplantae; Streptophyta; Magnoliopsida; Lamiales; Pedaliaceae. The record is from RefSeq and is a predicted model, not a curated record.
UAUAGUUACUAGGAACCCAAAAGCAAUGAUCCGAUUAUACAGUACAGGCGCAUUUUAUUUUGCUCUGGCUUACCCUGGUUCUAAUCUUCUUUUAAUUGCCCAACUCUUCUCAGUGACUCAUGUUUAUCAAGCUUUUCAUGGUGGUGAGGAAGCUGCAAUUUCCUCUUCUCUACCUUUGGCGAAACGAAGUGUUUGGGCGGCCUCUUACCUGAGUCAUUGCUUUAUGUACUGGAACGUAGCGGCCCAGUUGCUUUUGCCGCAGCAAUGGUUUCUGAUUCAGACACUCCUGAGAUUAUUUGGACACACAAGAUGCGAGCAGAAAAUCUGAUCCGUCAGGUUCUUCAGCAUCUUGGUGAUUUCCCUCAGAAAUUGUCACAGCAUUGUCAUUCCGUAUAUGACUAUGCUCCAAUGCCACCAGUAACAUAUCCAGAGCUGAAAGAUGAAAUGUGGUGUCAUCGUUAUUACUCGAAACUUAUGUGAUGAAAUUAGAUUUCCUAAUUGGCUAUUGUUGAACAUGUUGAGUUUUUGCAAUCAUUGCUAGUAAUGUGAGAGAAGAGUUAACUCGAAGGCCAAUGGACCUUUCUGAAGAAGAAGCUUGCAAGAUACUAGAGAUUUCCAUUGAUGAAGUAUCCAGAGACGACGCCCCUAAGAAACCAAGUUUUGAGUCAGUUGAGGAGAUACCUAAUAUAUCAAAGCAGAUUGAGUAUAUUGAUGAGGAAAAGCUCAAGAGACAGUAUAGGAAACUUGCAAUGAAGUAUCAUCCA